UGGGGUAUAUUGGACAAUGGGCGAAAGCCUGAUCCAGCCAUGCCGCGUGUGUGAAGAAGGUCUUCGGAUUGUAAAGCACUUUAAGUUGGGAGGAAGGGCAGUAAGCGAAUACCUUGCUGUUUUGACGUUACCGACAGAAUAAGCACCGGCUAACUCUGUGCCAGCAGCCGCGGUAAUACAGAGGGUGCAAGCGUUAAUCGGAAUUACUGGGCGUAAAGCGCGCGUAGGUGGUUCGUUAAGUUGAAUGUGAAAGCCCCGGGCUCAACCUGGGAACUGCAUCCAAAACUGGCGAGCUAGAGUAGGGCAGAGGGUGGUGGAAUUUCCUGUGUAGCGGUGAAAUGCGUAGAUAUAGGAAGGAACACCAGUGGCGAAGGCGACCACCUGGGCUCAUACUGACACUGAGGUGCGAAAGCGUGGGAGCAAACAGG
RNAcentral lists this ribosomal RNA (428 nucleotides) under Pseudomonadota bacterium. Its description in RNAcentral is "Proteobacteria bacterium partial 16S ribosomal RNA". It matches the Rfam family "Bacterial small subunit ribosomal RNA", at positions 355 to 776 of the family's 1533-position model. The record is from RNAcentral. Lineage: Bacteria; Pseudomonadati; Pseudomonadota.